This 377-nucleotide long non-coding RNA is filed under the name Trifolium pratense (red clover). RNAcentral's name for it is "long non-coding RNA (TPRA_LNC006354)". Lineage: Eukaryota; Viridiplantae; Streptophyta; Magnoliopsida; Fabales; Fabaceae. The record is from RNAcentral.
UACACUCAAGGUUUUAAAUGAGGUAAGAUGGAUAACUCAAUUGGUUUGAACUUAGGAUUAAAGAAGUUAAUGGUCCAGAGUUCAAAUCCUAACGAAGGUAAAAAAUACUAUGACUAACAUACCAAAUUACAAACUUUGUCCGUUUAAAAAAAAAACUCAAGGUUUUAAAAAUAGCUCAAGAAUUAAACCCAAUUAAAUAUCGUGUGUUUAUAAUGUACUAGUAAAUGAUUUUUCAUUUCAUAUUGCUGCUUCAAAUUACAUAUCCACCAAAAAAGUAUGCACAAUCCAAAGGCAGAAUGCAAGGCCAACAUCAAAAAACCCUCAACCUACAACUUUAACAUCCCACCCUCAAUUAUUUACUAUAACACAUACUUAAG